GACGAACGCUGGCGGCGUGCUUAACACAUGCAAGUCGAACGGAAAGGCUCCAGCUUGCUGGAGUACUCGAGUGGCGAACGGGUGAGUAACACGUGGGUAAUCUGCCCUGCACUCUGGGAUAAGCCUGGGAAACUGGGUCUAAUACUGGAUAUGACCUUUCUCCUUAUGGGGUUUGGUGGAAAGUUUUUCGGUGUAGGAUGAGCCCGCGGCCUAUCAGCUUGUUGGUGGGGUGAUGGCCUACCAAGGCGACGACGGGUAGCCGGCCUGAGAGGGUGAUCGGCCACAUUGGGACUGAGAUACGGCCCAGACUCCUACGGGAGGCAGCAGUGGGGAAUAUUGCACAAUGGGCUGAAGCCUGAUGCAGCGACGCCGCGUGAGGGAUGACGGCCUUCGGGUUGUAAACCUCUUUCAGCAGGGACGAAGCGUAAGUGACGGUACCUGCAGAAGAAGCACCGGCUAACUAUGUG
RNAcentral lists this ribosomal RNA (467 nucleotides) under uncultured bacterium. Its description in RNAcentral is "partial 16S ribosomal RNA". It matches the Rfam family "Bacterial small subunit ribosomal RNA", at positions 28 to 507 of the family's 1533-position model. The record is from RNAcentral.